RNAcentral lists this ribosomal RNA (794 nucleotides) under Escherichia coli. RNAcentral describes it as "partial 23S ribosomal RNA". It matches the Rfam family "Bacterial large subunit ribosomal RNA", at positions 30 to 867 of the family's 2925-position model. The record is from RNAcentral. Lineage: Bacteria; Pseudomonadati; Pseudomonadota; Gammaproteobacteria; Enterobacterales; Enterobacteriaceae.
GCCCUGGCAGUCAGAGGCGAUGAAGGACGUGCUAAUCUGCGAUAAGCGUCGGUAAGGUGAUAUGAACCGUUAUAACCGGCGAUUUCCGAAUGGGGAAACCCAGUGUGAUUCGUCACACUAUCAUUAACUGAAUCCAUAGGUUAAUGAGGCGAACCGGGGGAACUGAAACAUCUAAGUACCCCGAGGAAAAGAAAUCAACCGAGAUUCCCCCAGUAGCGGCGAGCGAACGGGGAGGAGCCCAGAGCCUGAAUCAGUGUGUGUGUUAGUGGAAGCGUCUGGAAAGGCGCGCGAUACAGGGUGACAGCCCCGUACACAAAAAUGCACAUGCUGUGAGCUCGAUGAGUAGGGCGGGACACGUGGUAUCCUGUCUGAAUAUGGGGGGACCAUCCUCCAAGGCUAAAUACUCCUGACUGACCGAUAGUGAACCAGUACCGUGAGGGAAAGGCGAAAAGAACCCCGGCGAGGGGAGUGAAAAAGAACCUGAAACCGUGUACGUACAAGCAGUGGGAGCCUCUUUAUGGGGUGACUGCGUACCUUUUGUAUAAUGGGUCAGCGACUUAUAUUCUGUAGCAAGGUUAACCGAAUAGGGGAGCCGAAGGGAAACCGAGUCUUAACUGGGCGUUAAGUUGCAGGGUAUAGACCCGAAACCCGGUGAUCUAGCCAUGGGCAGGUUGAAGGUUGGGUAACACUAACUGGAGGACCGAACCGACUAAUGUUGAAAAAUUAGCGGAUGACUUGUGGCUGGGGGUGAAAGGCCAAUCAAACCGGGAGAUAGCUGGUUCUCCCCGAAAGCU